GUGCCAGCAGCCGCGGUAAUACGUAGGUGGCGAGCGUUAUCCGGAAUUAUUGGGCGUAAAGAGCGCGCAGGUGGUUGAUUAAGUCUGAUGUGAAAGCCCACGGCUUAACCGUGGAGGGUCAUUGGAAACUGGUCGACUUGAGUGCAGAAGAGGGAAGUGGAAUUCCAUGUGUAGCGGUGAAAUGCGUAGAGAUAUGGAGGAACACCAGUGGCGAAGGCGGCUUCCUGGUCUGUAACUGACACUGAGGCGCGAAAGCGUGGGGAGCAAACAGGAUUAGAUACCCCCGUAGUCC
Molecule: ribosomal RNA, 292 nt
Filed under: uncultured bacterium
Lineage: Bacteria
Description: partial 16S ribosomal RNA
Rfam family: Bacterial small subunit ribosomal RNA
Source: RNAcentral